ACUCCUACGGGAGGCAGCAGUGGGGAAUAUUGCACAAUGGGCGCAAGCCUGAUGCAGCCAUGCCGCGUGUGUGAAGAAGGCCUUCGGGUUGUAAAGCACUUUCAGUUGUGAGGAAGGUGGUGUCGUUAAUAGCGGCAUCAUUUGACGUUAGCAACAGAAGAAGCACCGGCUAACUCCGUGCCAGCAGCCGCGGUAAUACGGAGGGUGCGAGCGUUAAUCGGAAUUACUGGGCGUAAAGCGCAUGCAGGCGGCCUGUUAAGUCAGAUGUGAAAGCCCGGGGCUUAACCUCGGAAUUGCAUUUGAAACUGGCAGGCUAGAGUCUUGUAGAGGGGGGUAGAAAUUUCAGGUGUAGCGGUGAAAUGCGUAGAG
RNAcentral lists this ribosomal RNA (369 nucleotides) under uncultured bacterium. Its description in RNAcentral is "bacterial SSU rRNA". It matches the Rfam family "Bacterial small subunit ribosomal RNA", at positions 335 to 695 of the family's 1533-position model. The record is from RNAcentral.